This 257-nucleotide ribosomal RNA is filed under the name uncultured bacterium. RNAcentral's name for it is "partial 16S ribosomal RNA". It matches the Rfam family "Bacterial small subunit ribosomal RNA", at positions 524 to 776 of the family's 1533-position model. The record is from RNAcentral.
UACGGAGGAUCCAAGCGUUAUCCGGAUUUAUUGGGUUUAAAGGGUGCGUAGGCGGCCUAUUAAGUCAGAGGUGAAAGACGGUAGCUCAACUAUCGCAGUGCCUUUGAUACUGAUGGGCUUGAAUGAACUAGAGGUAGGCGGAAUGAGACAAGUAGCGGUGAAAUGCAUAGAUAUGUCUCAGAACACCGAUUGCGAAGGCAGCUUACUAUGGUUUUUAUUGACGCUGAGGCACGAAAAGCGUGGGGGAUCAAAACAGG